AAACCCCUUUUCUCAGGGAAGAAGUUCUGACGGUACCUGAGGAAUCAGCCUCGGCUAACUCCGUGCCAGCAGCCGCGGUAAUACGGAGGAGGCAAGCGUUAUCCGGAAUUAUUGGGCGUAAAGCGUCCGCAGGUGGUGGGGCAAGUCGGCGGUUAAAGACUGGGGCUUAACUCCAGAAAGGCCGUGGAAACUGCACCACUAGAGGGCAGUAGGGGUAGAGGGAAUUCCCGGUGUAGCGGUGAAAUGCGUAGAGCUCGGGAAGAACACCAGUGGCGAAAGCGCUCUACUGGACUGCAACUGACACUCAGGGACGAAAGCUAGGGGAGCGAAUGGGAUUAGAUACCCCAGUAGUCCCUAGCCCGUAAACGAUGGGAUACUAGGUGUUGUCUGUAUCGACCCCAGACAGUGCCGUAGCUAACGCGAUAAGUAUCCCGCCUGGGGACUACGCACGCAAGUGUGAAACUCAAAGGAAUUGACGGGGGCCCGCACAAGCGGUGGAGUAUGUGGUUUAAUUCGAUGCAACGCGAAAAACCUUACCAGGGCUUGACAUGUCCCGAACCCUGCCGAAAGGUGGGGGUGCCUUCGGGAGCGCGAACACAAGGUGGUGCAUGGCUGUCGUCAGCUCGUGUCGUGAGAUGUUGGGUUAAGUCCCGCAACGAGCG
RNAcentral lists this ribosomal RNA (662 nucleotides) under uncultured cyanobacterium. RNAcentral's name for it is "bacterial SSU rRNA". It matches the Rfam family "Bacterial small subunit ribosomal RNA", at positions 427 to 1098 of the family's 1533-position model. The record is from RNAcentral. Lineage: Bacteria; Bacillati; Cyanobacteriota.